GACGAACGCUGGCGGCGUGCUUAACACAUGCAAGUCGAACGGUGAAGCGCCUUCCUUUUUGGUGGGUGUGGAUGAGUGGCGAACGGGUGAGUAACACGUGAGUAACCUGCCCCCUUCUUCUGGAUAACCGCAUGAAAGUGUGGCUAAUACGGGAUAUUCUGGGUCUGUCGCAUGAUGGGUCUGGGAAAGAUAUUGUUUCGGUGGGGGAUGGGCUCGCGGCCUAUCAGCUUGUUGGUGGGGUGAUGGCCUACCAAGGCGGUGACGGGUAGCCGGCCUGAGAGGGUGGACGGUCACACUGGGACUGAGACACGGCCCAGACUCCUACGGGAGGCAGCAGUGGGGAAUAGUGCACAAUGGGCGCAAGCCUGAUGCAGCGACGCCGCGGGAGGGAUGGAGGCCUGCGGGUUGUGAACCUCUUUCGCCAGUGAAGCAGGGCUGCCUCGUGUGUGGGUGGGUUGACGGUAGCUGGAUAAGAAGCGCCGGCUAACUACGUG
This 494-nucleotide ribosomal RNA is filed under the name uncultured bacterium. RNAcentral's name for it is "partial 16S ribosomal RNA". It matches the Rfam family "Bacterial small subunit ribosomal RNA", at positions 28 to 507 of the family's 1533-position model. The record is from RNAcentral.